This 324-nucleotide ribosomal RNA is filed under the name uncultured eukaryote. RNAcentral's name for it is "partial 18S ribosomal RNA". It matches the Rfam family "Eukaryotic small subunit ribosomal RNA", at positions 1470 to 1796 of the family's 1831-position model. The record is from RNAcentral.
CCCUUAGAUGUUCUGGGCUGCACGCGCGCUACACUGAUGCGUUCAACGAGUUUUCAUCCUUGCCCGGUAGGGUUGGGUAAUCUUCUGAAAACGCAUCGUGAUGGGGAUAGAUUAUUGUAAUUAUUAAUCUUCAACGAGGAAUUCCUAGUAAGCGCGAAUCAUCAGUUCGUGCUGAUUACGUCCCUGCCCUUUGUACACACCGCCCGUCGCUCCUACCGAUUGAAUGGUCCGGUGAAAUCUUCGGAUUGCUGGAUAGGAGGGCAACCACCUAUCUGCGAGAAGUUGCUUGAACCUUAUCAUUUAGAGGAAGGAGAAGUCGUAACA